RNAcentral lists this transfer RNA (69 nucleotides) under Mesorhizobium sp. RNAcentral's name for it is "tRNA-Pro". The record is from RNAcentral. Lineage: Bacteria; Pseudomonadati; Pseudomonadota; Alphaproteobacteria; Hyphomicrobiales; Phyllobacteriaceae.
GGAGUGUAGCGCAGCCUGGUAGCGCACAUCGUUCGGGACGAUGGGGUCGCAGGUUCAAGCUGCCGCCUA